This 253-nucleotide ribosomal RNA is filed under the name uncultured bacterium. Its description in RNAcentral is "partial 16S ribosomal RNA". It matches the Rfam family "Bacterial small subunit ribosomal RNA", at positions 524 to 776 of the family's 1533-position model. The record is from RNAcentral.
UACGUAGGGUGCAAGCGUUGUCCGGAAUUAUUGGGCGUAAAGAGCUCGUAGGCGGUUUGUCGCGUCUGCUGGGAAAACUCAGGGCUUAACCCUGAGCCUGCAGUGGGUACGGGCAGACUAGAGUGUGGUAGGGGAGAUCGGAAUUCCUGGUGUAGCGGUGGAAUGCGCAGAUAUCAGGAGGAACACCGGUGGCGAAGGCGGAUCUCUGGGCCAUAACUGACGCUGAGGAGCGAAAGCAUGGGGAGCGAACAGG